AUAAAAGGCCUAAAUGCUCCAAAAGUAACAGAUCCCAUCUGGUCUUGGAAGCUAACUGGGGUAAUCUAUGGUUAGUAUUUGGAAGGGAGACCACCAAUGAAUACUAGGUGCUGUAGACU
This 119-nucleotide ribosomal RNA is filed under the name Anolis carolinensis (green anole). The record is from RNAcentral. Lineage: Eukaryota; Metazoa; Chordata; Lepidosauria; Squamata; Anolidae.